UUCUUGUAUUUCAAAACGAAUAACAAAGAAUGAGGUUGCAGAGAAACUUUCCGUUUAUCACGUAUAUUUAUGGUAUGUAGAUGUUUGUAUGUGGCUUUCACGGUUUUUCAUAUUUAUGAAUUGUGUUUAGAAACUCUGAAUUAGUAUCCAUAUUGCCGAUCAGGGAAUAAUAUAACGUCAACAUUCAGAACACAUGGAAAAUCCAUCAUAUAUAUAAUUUCCUCCAGUUAUACUAUUUUUAAGAGCAUUUAAUGUGAAAAGCAUAUUUAGUUUCAUAUUAAAGUUAAGGUUAAAAUUAAUACAUUUAUUAUGCUUAAAGAUUUAAAAAAGAAAAAAAGGGGGGUUAAGCAAGUGUUUACAUUAUUGUGCUCAGGUAAAUUUCACAACAGGUUUACUUUAUACUAUAUAUAUGCGAUUCGUUUAGUUUUACAUUAAGGCUUGGUAAACCACAUACUUUUUGAGAUUAUAAAUUAUAAAUUUCAACUGGACAACAAAGUAUUGAAUUUGAACGAUCAUGUGAUGAAAAUUGAUACUUAUUUUUACAAAAUCAUUAUAUAUAUUAAAAAAAAAAAGUAUUAUUUCACGCUAUGUCUAUGAGAGGAAACACUAUAGAACAUGUUUAUUGUAAUUUUCACUAAUUAAUCUUUUUAAAAAGUCAUUCUAUUUUAUAUUAUUUUUUAAACGAGUCAGUCUGACACUUAUGAUAUCUGAUCUUCAGGUGAUCUCUGACGCCUGUUUACAUUAAUGUGUAUGUAACCUGGCGCUGAAUGUUAGCAGUCCAUUAUCAUGAACAUGCAUUUUUUAUUUUACAGUUUCUUGUCAAACAAAUCAAUGGCUGAAAUGCAUCAAGUGGAGCAAAAUCAAAAUAUCAGUUUUGGGAAUUCCAGUCUUUAAAAUCAUCAAAGGUAGGUUUUUUGUCUGUAUAACUUAUAUAAUACAUUUGUGUUCAAAGAUUAAUCUGUUAUGUAUUCUAAUUUUGUUAACCUUACAUACAUGUACAAAAAAAAUGUACCAUAUAUUAUAUUACAUGUAUGUUUGUCUUUAUAUCUGAACUAUUCUAGUAAAGCUAUUUUUUCAUGUUAAUGGGCAGUCAUCAAUAAAAAAACAGUCAUCGGUAAAGUGUUUUCAUUGUUAUAGUUAAACCGAAGAGGUUUAUAAAAACUCAAGUUGGAGCUUCUUCAUUAACAAAAAACUAACAAGUAAACAUUAAUAUAUAUAUUUUUUAUUAAUGAAACCUUAUUACAAUAUGUGCAUUGUCGUUAUGGUUUUAUUUAUUUUCAAUGCUUCUAGGAACAAAUUGAAAGAGGCUCAAAUUUAAGAUAUCUUUUCACGACAUACAAUUUAUAUUUAUUAUAAUCUGAUUUUUUCCAGAGGUUAAAUAUACUGCAAAAGUAUAAAGAUGUCAUUUGGGAAAUACACAUCUGAUAAAGACCCCUCCUGCUUAAAGUCUACCGCAGAAAGAUCUCGAAGUGGUGGAAAAUGAUGACAUGCAAUAAGGACAAAAAGAGAC
Molecule: long non-coding RNA, 1510 nt
Filed under: Mytilus galloprovincialis (Mediterranean mussel)
Lineage: Eukaryota; Metazoa; Mollusca; Bivalvia; Mytilida; Mytilidae
Source: RNAcentral